Clupea harengus (Atlantic herring) is the source of this 681-nucleotide long non-coding RNA. RefSeq lists it as uncharacterized. The transcript is spliced from 3 exons. The record is from RefSeq and is a predicted model, not a curated record. Lineage: Eukaryota; Metazoa; Chordata; Actinopteri; Clupeiformes; Clupeidae.
AGCAUCUUUCUUCUCUUCUGGAGGAUCCCAACUGUAAACUGAAGAAACUAGUACUGUCUCAUUGUCUCAUCACACACGAGGGCUGUUCUUUCUUGGCCUCUGCCCUCAAAUCAAACCCCUCCUACCUGAAAUGGCUGGAUCUGAGCUACAAUCACCCAGGAGACUCCGGUGUCAGAGAGCUCACAGGCAGACUGAAUGAUCCAAACUGUAAACUAGAGACUUUCAGGUAUGACCAUGGAGGAGAGUUCAGGAUUAAACCAGGACCGAGAAAAUGUGAGUGAUUUUAUUCAUUUUUCCCUGAAAAAAUACAUACACAUGAUUGUAUAUGAACACAUGGAAACAUUGAGGUGUGUGUGUGUGUAUGUAAGAGAAAGAGGUUGUGUAUGUUUAUAGGUUUAGUAGUGCAUGUGAUCAUUUGUGUGUGAUCAGGCUGAUGUUUCUUUGUUUUCACUUGGUCAUUCUUUGAUUCCAUUUGACUUGAUAAUUCUAAAACAUGAACAUGAAUGUGAUCAAGUCGACUCCCAGCUCAUACAGCUGCUGCUGAGCAACUGCAGUGUCUGGCCCUGAAAACAGCUGCCAGCUUACUGCCAUAAGAUUAAAAUGGCCUGUGCCAUCAUGACAAUGAAAGCUGAACAGAAUUGAUAUCUGACACUUACUGAACCAAGCCUGGCAGUGUUUGGU